GUAACGCGUAUCGAACCUGCCGCAUACCCGGGGAUAGCCUUGCGAAAGCAAGAUUAAUACCCGAUGUUCUCACUGUUCCGCAUGUUACGGUGAGCAAAGAAUUUCGGUAUGCGAUGGCGAUGCGUCCCAUUAGCUAGUUGGCGGGGUAACGGCCCACCAAGGCUCCGAUGGGUAGGGGUUCUGAGAGGAAGGUCCCCCACACUGGUACUGAGACACGAUCAACCUUUAAACGGGAGGUAGCACUGAGUAAUAUUGGUCACUGGCCGCAGGGAUGAACCAGCCAAGUCUCGUGAGGGAUGACGGUCCUAUGGAUUGUAAACCUCUUUUGUCGGCGAGCACAGAGAGCCACGUGUGGCGUUUUGCGAGUACCUGAAGAAAAAGCAUCGG
This 387-nucleotide ribosomal RNA is filed under the name uncultured bacterium. Its description in RNAcentral is "bacterial SSU rRNA". It matches the Rfam family "Bacterial small subunit ribosomal RNA", at positions 110 to 496 of the family's 1533-position model. The record is from RNAcentral.